This 1033-nucleotide long non-coding RNA is filed under the name Neodiprion pinetum (white pine sawfly). RNAcentral describes it as "uncharacterized LOC124218997, transcript variant X3". Lineage: Eukaryota; Metazoa; Arthropoda; Insecta; Hymenoptera; Diprionidae. The record is from RNAcentral.
ACAGCAAAGCUGUAUGGGACUGUCAAACAGAGCUUGCUGCAGCCUUCAUGCGACGUCUGCCGCAAUUAUGUUCUUCGUACUUCGCAAGCUUCCUGCACGUACGCGCAGGAUGCUUAUACCCUAUACCUAUAUUACAUACAAUAAUAGCGGGAACCGGGGCUUCCCAGUAAAACGUGUAAAUAUAUAGUCGACGAUAUUUUAUCAGCCGUAAGACAUACACGUGCUGGAAGGAAAACAGAAAGAUAUACAUUACCUCAUUUCACAGCUUCUCAGAUCACAUUGCUGUUUGGCUUCUCGUCCAGAAGAUGUAAGAAUAUUGAUUGGGACUUGCAAUCGUCGCGUUGAAUUGAUUGAUGUUGAACCCGGAAAAUAUUGGCAUGUGUCUAUUAUGGGAAGGGUAAGCCGAAAGAUCCGAACAAUUUCUUUAAAAUGUUCACAAAUGAAGUCCAAGAGGUUUUCGCCAGUGGUGGUAUCCACUUCAAGAAUCAUUUAGUAAAAAUAAAGUUCAGAUGCUUCAUAGAUGAUGCUCCGGAUUGAUUCCUUGGAGGUAUUCCAAGAGUUUGAAGAAGAUCCUGAAAGACAACGAUCUCUAAAACACUAUCUUAUUAACGUUGGUGGUGUCACAUCUAGAGAUGCUCUCAACCAAUUUCUGAAGGAAGCCAUGACGGAUAGCCUGACACAAAAAUUCUCUUGGACUGGAAAGUCUGUUUCAGAUAAAGAGAAUCUCCGAUCGUUAUUUAAUACCUGUAUCGGAAAGGUAUUUUUUGAUGCCUUACGUGAGUGUCGAUACCACAGCCACAUGAUAGUACAGAAUUAGCGAGACUGAUACAAGAGGCAAUUCGGGGCGCACAAAAAAGAUUGCAGGAUGCAAAACGACGUGCCAAUCGCUCUGUCCAUGUGGAGGGUCGCAGACAAAAAUAUAUGGCUGAAAUGGCUCAUCGUUACGAGGUUGAACACCCAGGACAAUGACACUGCGGAAUAAGAGACCCACAAUUUCCCUAUUAAAGAUCCUACCUGUAUUCAAACAUACGUA